AGUUUGAGUCCUAGGCUCAGAACGAACGGCUGGCGGCGACGCCUAAUACAUGCAAGUCGAGCGAGAAGUGUAGCAAUACACUUGUAAAGCGGCGAACGGGUGAGGAAUACAUGGGUAAUCUACCAUCGAUGGGGAAUAACCAGCCGAAAGGUUGGCUAAUACCGCGUACGCCUCCGAAUCUUCGGGUACGGAGGGAAAGCCGCACUGUGAGUGCGGCGCUCUUUGAUGAGCUCAUGUCCUAUCAGCUUGUUGGUAGGGUAACGGCCUACCAAGGCUUUGACGGGUAGCUGGUCUGAGAGGACGAUCAGCCACACUGGCACUGCGACACGGGCCAGACUCCUACGGGAGGCAGCAGUAAGGAAUAUUGCGCAAUGGGCGAAAGCCUGACGCAGCGACGCCGCGUGGGGGAUGAAGGUCUUCGGAUUGUAAACCCCUUUCGGGAGGGAAGAUGGAACGAGCAAUCGUUCGGACGGUACCUCCAGAAGCAGCCACGGCCAACUUCGUG
This 505-nucleotide ribosomal RNA is filed under the name uncultured Nitrospira sp. Its description in RNAcentral is "bacterial SSU rRNA". It matches the Rfam family "Bacterial small subunit ribosomal RNA", at positions 1 to 507 of the family's 1533-position model. Lineage: Bacteria; Pseudomonadati; Nitrospirota; Nitrospiria; Nitrospirales; Nitrospiraceae. The record is from RNAcentral.